RNAcentral lists this unclassified non-coding RNA (386 nucleotides) under soil metagenome. RNAcentral describes it as "partial contains 5.8S ribosomal RNA, internal transcribed spacer 2, and large subunit ribosomal RNA". The stretch from base 1 to 119 matches the Rfam family "5.8S ribosomal RNA", at positions 35 to 154 of the family's 154-position model. The record is from RNAcentral.
GAUGAAGAACGUAGCAAAUGCGAUAAGUAAUGUGAAUUGCAGAAUUCAGUGAAUCAUCGAAUCUUUGAACGCACCUUGCGCUCCUUGGUAUUCCGAGGAGCAUGCCUGUUUGAGUGUCAUGAAAUUCUCAACCUUUUCAGCUUUCUUUGUUGAUCAGGCUUGGAUGUGGGAGUAUGCGGGCUUCUCAGAAGUCGGCUCUCCUGAAAUGCAUUAGCGGGACCUUUGUUGCCUGGCUUUGGUGUGAUAAUUAUCUACGCCAUUGUAGUCAAGCAGCUUAAAAUGAGGUUUCAGCUUCUAACCGUCUCCCCUGAGACAACUUUUUGACAAUUUGACCUCAAAUCAGGUAGGACUACCCGCUGAACUUAAGCAUAUCAAUAAGCGGAGGA